Molecule: ribosomal RNA, 2904 nt
Filed under: Escherichia coli
Lineage: Bacteria; Pseudomonadati; Pseudomonadota; Gammaproteobacteria; Enterobacterales; Enterobacteriaceae
Also listed under: 1 other name
Description: bacterial LSU rRNA
Rfam family: Bacterial large subunit ribosomal RNA
Source: RNAcentral
UUAAGCGACUAAGCGUACACGGUGGAUGCCCUGGCAGUCAGAGGCGAUGAAGGACGUGCUAAUCUGCGAUAAGCGUCGGUAAGGUGAUAUGAACCGUUAUAACCGGCGAUUUCCGAAUGGGGAAACCCAGUGUGUUUCGACACACUAUCAUUAACUGAAUCCAUAGGUUAAUGAGGCGAACCGGGGGAACUGAAACAUCUAAGUACCCCGAGGAAAAGAAAUCAACCGAGAUUCCCCCAGUAGCGGCGAGCGAACGGGGAGCAGCCCAGAGCCUGAAUCAGUGUGUGUGUUAGUGGAAGCGUCUGGAAAGGCGCGCGAUACAGGGUGACAGCCCCGUACACAAAAAUGCACAUAUUGUGAGCUCGAUGAGUAGGGCGGGACACGUGGUAUCCUGUCUGAAUAUGGGGGGACCAUCCUCCAAGGCUAAAUACUCCUGACUGACCGAUAGUGAACCAGUACCGUGAGGGAAAGGCGAAAAGAACCCCGGCGAGGGGAGUGAAAAAGAACCUGAAACCGUGUACGUACAAGCAGUGGGAGCACGCUUAGGCGUGUGACUGCGUACCUUUUGUAUAAUGGGUCAGCGACUUAUAUUCUGUAGCAAGGUUAACCGAAUAGGGGAGCCGAAGGGAAACCGAGUCUUAACUGGGCGUUAAGUUGCAGGGUAUAGACCCGAAACCCGGUGAUCUAGCCAUGGGCAGGUUGAAGGUUGGGUAACACUAACUGGAGGACCGAACCGACUAAUGUUGAAAAAUUAGCGGAUGACUUGUGGCUGGGGGUGAAAGGCCAAUCAAACCGGGAGAUAGCUGGUUCUCCCCGAAAGCUAUUUAGGUAGCGCCUCGUGAAUUCAUCUCCGGGGGUAGAGCACUGUUUCGGCAAGGGGGUCAUCCCGACUUACCAACCCGAUGCAAACUGCGAAUACCGGAGAAUGUUAUCACGGGAGACACACGGCGGGUGCUAACGUCCGUCGUGAAGAGGGAAACAACCCAGACCGCCAGCUAAGGUCCCAAAGUCAUGGUUAAGUGGGAAACGAUGUGGGAAGGCCCAGACAGCCAGGAUGUUGGCUUAGAAGCAGCCAUCAUUUAAAGAAAGCGUAAUAGCUCACUGGUCGAGUCGGCCUGCGCGGAAGAUGUAACGGGGCUAAACCAUGCACCGAAGCUGCGGCAGCGACGCUUAUGCGUUGUUGGGUAGGGGAGCGUUCUGUAAGCCUGUGAAGGUGUGCUGUGAGGCAUGCUGGAGGUAUCAGAAGUGCGAAUGCUGACAUAAGUAACGAUAAAGCGGGUGAAAAGCCCGCUCGCCGGAAGACCAAGGGUUCCUGUCCAACGUUAAUCGGGGCAGGGUGAGUCGACCCCUAAGGCGAGGCCGAAAGGCGUAGUCGAUGGGAAACAGGUUAAUAUUCCUGUACUUGGUGUUACUGCGAAGGGGGGACGGAGAAGGCUAUGUUGGCCGGGCGACGGUUGUCCCGGUUUAAGCGUGUAGGCUGGUUUUCCAGGCAAAUCCGGAAAAUCAAGGCUGAGGCGUGAUGACGAGGCACUACGGUGCUGAAGCAACAAAUGCCCUGCUUCCAGGAAAAGCCUCUAAGCAUCAGGUAACAUCAAAUCGUACCCCAAACCGACACAGGUGGUCAGGUAGAGAAUACCAAGGCGCUUGAGAGAACUCGGGUGAAGGAACUAGGCAAAAUGGUGCCGUAACUUCGGGAGAAGGCACGCUGAUAUGUAGGUGAAGUCCCUCGCGGAUGGAGCUGAAAUCAGUCGAAGAUACCAGCUGGCUGCAACUGUUUAUUAAAAACACAGCACUGUGCAAACACGAAAGUGGACGUAUACGGUGUGACGCCUGCCCGGUGCCGGAAGGUUAAUUGAUGGGGUUAGCCGCAAGGCGAAGCUCUUGAUCGAAGCCCCGGUAAACGGCGGCCGUAACUAUAACGGUCCUAAGGUAGCGAAAUUCCUUGUCGGGUAAGUUCCGACCUGCACGAAUGGCGUAAUGAUGGCCAGGCUGUCUCCACCCGAGACUCAGUGAAAUUGAACUCGCUGUGAAGAUGCAGUGUACCCGCGGCAAGACGGAAAGACCCCGUGAACCUUUACUAUAGCUUGACACUGAACAUUGAGCCUUGAUGUGUAGGAUAGGUGGGAGGCUUAGAAGUGUGGACGCCAGUCUGCAUGGAGCCGACCUUGAAAUACCACCCUUUAAUGUUUGAUGUUCUAACGUUGACCCGUAAUCCGGGUUGCGGACAGUGUCUGGUGGGUAGUUUGACUGGGGCGGUCUCCUCCUAAAGAGUAACGGAGGAGCACGAAGGUUGGCUAAUCCUGGUCGGACAUCAGGAGGUUAGUGCAAUGGCAUAAGCCAGCUUGACUGCGAGCGUGACGGCGCGAGCAGGUGCGAAAGCAGGUCAUAGUGAUCCGGUGGUUCUGAAUGGAAGGGCCAUCGCUCAACGGAUAAAAGGUACUCCGGGGAUAACAGGCUGAUACCGCCCAAGAGUUCAUAUCGACGGCGGUGUUUGGCACCUCGAUGUCGGCUCAUCACAUCCUGGGGCUGAAGUAGGUCCCAAGGGUAUGGCUGUUCGCCAUUUAAAGUGGUACGCGAGCUGGGUUUAGAACGUCGUGAGACAGUUCGGUCCCUAUCUGCCGUGGGCGCUGGAGAACUGAGGGGGGCUGCUCCUAGUACGAGAGGACCGGAGUGGACGCAUCACUGGUGUUCGGGUUGUCAUGCCAAUGGCACUGCCCGGUAGCUAAAUGCGGAAGAGAUAAGUGCUGAAAGCAUCUAAGCACGAAACUUGCCCCGAGAUGAGUUCUCCCUGACUCCUUGAGAGUCCUGAAGGAACGUUGAAGACGACGACGUUGAUAGGCCGGGUGUGUAAGCGCAGCGAUGCGUUGAGCUAACCGGUACUAAUGAACCGUGAGGCUUAACCUU